CUCUGAUUUGCAUUGCCUGGGAGUCGGGUCUGAGAAGGACAUGGCUUCUCUUUGAGAGCUAUAAUUAACAUUGGGAAGCUGCUGGCUGCUCUGGCAAUCCCAGUUAUCCACGUUGUCUGUGCUGUUCACGUAUCCCUUCUUAGUUGAGCAUACUUAUUAUUAUCUUUAUUAAUUACACACAGCAGUAUGCUUAAAGCGAGGCGGUGAGGUGGGGGGGAGUAGAAUGGCCAGUGUUUUCCCACCACGGAGAAGCAAAAUGUUACAUUUUGUACUUGUCAAAAGCAAAAAUCCUUCACUUCAAGAUGUGUGAGAUGCAUUACUAAUUGCACAAUUAUUUUGUUCCGUGGCACUUGCAAGAAAGAACUUGGAGUGCUUUCAGCAAAUUCUGGUGUUGAGAAAAUAAUGAAUUGGAGGUUUUUUUUUUCUUUCUUUUUAUUUUAAAGGUACUAAAUUAAGUGCUCUUCCUUCAUGAGAAUGUCUUCCCAAGCUUUCUGGAGCUGUCUUCCCAAAGCUUUUUGAAGAUGGAAGAAGUGUGCUUUAGUUAGGUGUGGAGGUCAGCGUGGCCCUGAAUAAAGGAAGGGAUGAGUGAAUACAGCUCAUGUGGAUGAUUUCCUUUUUGUUACAUGAGAAGAGGCCAAAAUAUUCAGGUGUUGAGUAAGCAGCUGUAUUGAAGACAGCUGAAUGCUGAGGGAGAGAGGUUUCCCAUUGCUGCCUGGAUGGAUGGUCCUGUCAGUCCUGUCUUAGUCCCAGGGGAUGGUCUCCUACACUCUCCCUUGUGUGAUGACUGCAUGACUACACCCCUUGGAUCCUAUCACCAUUCAUCUUUGGAAAGGAGAUGUGGCACAAAACAAAGAAGAGAAGCGAGAGGGGAGCACCGAACCAAACAGCAGUCACAGUUUUUGUUGUGCUGAGUGUUUUGUGCCAGCUUAGACAAGGUAACUAUAAUAAUAGCAGCAGAUAGUGGAGGGAUACUGAGUAUUAAGAAGCAGCUUUGAAUUAAUCUCAGCUUUCUUAUUUUGAGCAGCAGCAGCACACCUCCUAACGCCCUUAUCUUUUUGGGUGCACCUGGAACUGUGAAAGAUUUAAACUUGCAAAUCCAGAGCUUAAACAGUAAACAAUUUGGCCUCAAACAGUCCAGAAUUGGGGAGAGGGGGGAUUGGCAUGUGUAGAAGAGGAAGGCUUGGGGGAGCUUGUGGAUUUAUACAGAGCUGAAAGGUUU
This 1219-nucleotide long non-coding RNA is filed under the name Coturnix japonica (Japanese quail). RNAcentral describes it as "lncRNA (ENSCJPG00005007195.1)". Lineage: Eukaryota; Metazoa; Chordata; Aves; Galliformes; Phasianidae. The record is from RNAcentral.